This 432-nucleotide ribosomal RNA is filed under the name Triticum aestivum (bread wheat). Its description in RNAcentral is "partial small subunit ribosomal RNA". Lineage: Eukaryota; Viridiplantae; Streptophyta; Magnoliopsida; Poales; Poaceae. The record is from RNAcentral.
AUGGACGAACAUACAUUGAAGGUGUGUUCUCUCUUGGGCAUGUCAGAUUCAGAACCUGAAGACCCGGACAAGGGAAGGAACUACUUCGUGAAGGCCUUGAUAAACGAAGGCGAAUACUACCGCCAAUGUUGCAAAUUCGAACGGGACGGAAUUGUGUGCUGUCACAUACCGAAAGUAAUGGACAUGGUCGCGGUAACACGAUUGCCCCGCCAUUUCAUACGGUGGCGAUGGACUUGGGAUGCCGACGAUGCGUUGGGGCCACAAACAUCAAAUGCAGUUUUGGUUGUGCAUGAUGAGAGACCAGACACAGCCAUGGAAGCUGUGAGGCACGUUGUGUUGACCAAGAACUAUGUUGAACUAAUAGAUGAAGCAUGCAAGAGUGAUGAGAUAGCGAGGGUGGCAGAAAAACACAGGAAGGCCCUGAAAAGAUAG